RNAcentral lists this ribosomal RNA (460 nucleotides) under uncultured bacterium. RNAcentral describes it as "partial 16S ribosomal RNA". It matches the Rfam family "Bacterial small subunit ribosomal RNA", at positions 338 to 795 of the family's 1533-position model. The record is from RNAcentral.
CCUACGGGUGGCAGCAGUGAGGAAUAUUGGUCAAUGGUCGAGAGUCUGAACCAGCCAAGUAGCGUGAAGGAUGACUGCCCUAUGGGUUGUAAACUUCUUUUAUAUGGGAAUAAAAUGUUCCACGUGUGGGAUGUUGUAGGUACCAUAUGAAAAAGGAUCUGCUAACGCCGUGCCAGCAGCCGCGGUAAUACGGAGGAUCCGGGCGUUAACCGGAUUUAUUGGGUUUAAAGGGAGCGGAAGUGGAUUUUUAAGUCAGUUGUGAAAGUUUGCGGCUCAACCGUAAAAUUGCAGUUGAAACUGGCAGUCUUGAGUACAGUAGAGGUGGGCGGAAUUCGUGGUGUAGCGGUGAAAUGCUUAGAUAUUACGAAGAACUCCGAUUGCGAAGGCAGCUCACUGGACUGCAACUGACACUGAGGCUCGAAAGUGUGGGUAUCAAACAGGAUUAGAUACCCCUGUAGUC